This 497-nucleotide ribosomal RNA is filed under the name uncultured bacterium. RNAcentral's name for it is "partial 16S ribosomal RNA". It matches the Rfam family "Bacterial small subunit ribosomal RNA", at positions 28 to 507 of the family's 1533-position model. The record is from RNAcentral.
GAUGAACGCUGGCGGCGUGCCUAAUACAUGCAAGUCGAGCGAACAGACGCUGAGCUUGCUCCGCUGACGUUAGCGGCGGACGGGUGAGUCACACGUGUAUAACCUCCCUAUAAGACUGGUAUAACUUCGGGAAACCGGCUCUAAUACCGGAUGAUAUAUUGCACCGCAUUGUUCAAUGGUAAAAGACGGUUUUGCUGUCACGUAUAGCUGGAUCCGCGCCGCAUUGGAUAGUUGGUAAGGUAACAGGUUACCAAGGCAACGAUGCGUAGCCGAGGUGAGAGGGUGGUCGGCCACCUGGGAGCGGAGACACGGACAAUAGUACUACGGUAGGCAGCAGUAUCGAAUCGUACGCAACGGUCGAAAGUUUGACGCAGUAACCGCGAGUGAGUGACGAAGGUCUUGGGAUCGGAAAACCCUGUUAUUAGGGAAGAACAAAUGUGUAAGGAACCAUGCACGGCGUGACGGUAACGAAUCAGAAAGCAACGGCUAACUACGUG